GGAUGAACGUUGGCGGUGUGCCUAAUACAUGCAAGUCGAACGGAGACUGUAGCAAUACUGUCUUAGUGGCGAACGGGUGAGUAACGCGUUGGUGAUCUGCCUCGAAGUGUGGAAUAACCUCCCGAAAGGGAAGCUAAUACCGCAUAGUCUCUCAAGGUUUAGAAAAUUGAGAGUAAAGGAUUUAUUCGCUUCGAGAGGAGCCUGCGUCCCAUCAGCUCGUUGGUAGGGUAACGGCCUACCAAGGCAAUGACGGGUAGGGGACCUGAGAGGGUGGCCCCCCACAAUGGAACUGAAACACGGUCCAUACACCUACGGGUGGCAGCAGUAGGGAAUAUUAGAAAUGGGCGGAAGCCUGAUCUAGCAACACCGCGUGUGCGAUGAAGGCCUUCGGGUCGUAAAGCACUUUUUGGAGGGAAUAGGAAGGAAGGUACCUCCAGAAUAAGUCUCGGCUAACUACGUGCCAGCAGCCGCGGUAACACGUAGGAGGCAAACGUUAUCCGGAUUCACUGGGCGUAAAGCGCGUGCAGGUGGUUCCGUAAGUAGGGCGUGAAAGCUCCCGGCUCAACUGGGAGAGGCCGUAUUAAACUGCGGAGCUAGAGGAUGGUAGAGGGAGGUGGAAUUCCAGGUGUAGUGGUGAAAUGCGCAGAUAUCUGGAGGAACACCAGUGGCGAAGGCGGCCUCCUGGACCAUUCCUGACACUCAGACGCGAAAGCUAGGGUAGCAAACGGAAUUAGAGACUCCGGUAGUCCUAGCCGUAAACGAUGUAGACUUGGCGUCGGUGGUUUAAUAUCCAUCGGUGUCGUAGCUAACGCGAUAAGUCUACCGCCUGGGGACUACGGCCGCAAGGUUAAAACUCAAAGGAAUUGACGGGUCCCCGCACAAGCAGCGGAGCGUGUGGUUUAAUUCGUUGCUACACGAAGAACCUUACCUGGGUUUGACAUAAAGGUGGUAGGGAGCCGAAAGGUGACCGACCCUUCGGGGAGCCUUUACAGGUGUUGCAUGGCUGUCGUCAGCUCGUGUCGUGAGACGUUCGGUUAAGUCCGCUAACGAGCGCAACCCUUACUGUUAGUUGCCAUCGGGUAAAGCCGGGGACUCUAGCGGGACUGCCACCGUAAGGUGAGAGGAAGGUGGGGAUGACGUCAAAUCAGCACGGCCCUUAUGUCCAGGGCUACACACGUGUUACAAUGGCCGGUACAAAGGGCAGCUACACCGCGAGGUGAUGCUAAUCUCGAAACCCGGUCUCAGUUCGGAUCGAAGUCUGCAACCCGACUUCGUGAAGUUGGAUUCGCUAGUAAUCGCGCAUCAGCCACGGCGCGGUGAAUACGUUCCCGGGCCU
This 1336-nucleotide ribosomal RNA is filed under the name uncultured bacterium. RNAcentral describes it as "bacterial SSU rRNA". It matches the Rfam family "Bacterial small subunit ribosomal RNA", at positions 27 to 1381 of the family's 1533-position model. The record is from RNAcentral.